Long non-coding RNA from Cucumis melo (muskmelon), 673 nucleotides. RefSeq lists it as uncharacterized. The record is from RefSeq and is a predicted model, not a curated record. The transcript has 2 exons. NCBI's taxonomy places the organism in Eukaryota, Viridiplantae, Streptophyta, Magnoliopsida, Cucurbitales, Cucurbitaceae.
CAUGUAAUUCGUCAACUGAUUGGCAGCAUCGGCUAGUUCAAAGUGCAUCACAGAAUUGAAAUACGUAAUCAAGUUUACUGCAAGCGCAAAGUUCGCCAUGCUCUCGAAACCAAAUGCAACUGCAACAGAAAUCCAAAAGGUAAUCAAAAGGUAUAAAAACAAAGUAACAAAUGCAAAAUUACAAGCAGAAUAAAUCUCUUAAUGUUCCAAAAAGUUCCCAUCAUGAGCUUUUGGUUUUGACCAAGUCUAAGACCUUCUCUUUGGAGAGAGCCCAAGUUGUUCGAUGUAUUAUAACUAUUUAGCCGGACGAAAGAUCCAUAUUCGACUCAGAAUGCGAUGGUUUGUGCAAUAUGUCAUUAAAGAAGGGAAUAUUUGAUAGUGUUUGGAAAGGAGAAGAGAACCAAUAAUCAUGAUGAUCUCAGAUUGUUUGCCUAAAUGAUUGGAGUGUUUUAAUUAUUAAAUAUAUGCUUUAGCUUUCAAGCAGGCCAUCUAGUUUGACCUUAGUAUGCUAUAUAUACUGUAUACAGCAUCAAUUAUGUUCCAUUUUUCAAUUCAAAAGUAGUUUGAUUGUCCUUUUCAAAAAAAAAAAAAAAAAAAAAAACUAUUCGUGUAUGUUUAUAUAGUAUAUAUAAGAAUAAAUAUCAUUUUGAUGAGUGAUGAGAUUGCAGAUAAA